AUCAGCUGACGAGUCCCAAAUAGGACGAAACGCGCAUCCUGGAU
Schistosoma rodhaini is the source of this 44-nucleotide non-coding RNA. The record is from Rfam. Lineage: Eukaryota; Metazoa; Platyhelminthes; Trematoda; Strigeidida; Schistosomatidae.